UUUAACUGAAGAGUUUGAUCAUGGCUCAGAUUGAACGCUGGCGGCAGGCUUAACACAUGCAAGUCGAGCGGAGAGAGGUAGCUUGC
RNAcentral lists this ribosomal RNA (86 nucleotides) under Acinetobacter pittii. RNAcentral describes it as "partial 16S ribosomal RNA". It matches the Rfam family "Bacterial small subunit ribosomal RNA", at positions 1 to 87 of the family's 1533-position model. Lineage: Bacteria; Pseudomonadati; Pseudomonadota; Gammaproteobacteria; Moraxellales; Moraxellaceae. The record is from RNAcentral.